Molecule: ribosomal RNA, 495 nt
Filed under: uncultured bacterium
Lineage: Bacteria
Description: partial 16S ribosomal RNA
Rfam family: Bacterial small subunit ribosomal RNA
Source: RNAcentral
GAUGAACGCUGGCGGCGUGCCUAAUACAUGCAAGUAGAACGCUGAAGGAGGAGCUUGCUCUUCUGGAUGAGUUGCGAACGGGUGAGUAACGCGUAGGUAACCUGCCUGGUAGCGGGGGAUAACUAUUGGAAACGAUAGCUAAUACCGCAUGACAACAGUUAUUGCAUGAUAACUGUUUAAAAGGGGCAACUGCUCCACUACCAGAUGGACCUGCGUUGUAUUAGCUAGUUGGUGAGGUAACGGCUCACCAAGGCGACGAUACAUAGCCGACCUGAGAGGGUGAUCGGCCACACUGGGACUGAGACACGGCCCAGACUCCUACGGGAGGCAGCAGUAGGGAAUCCUCGGCAAUGGACGGAAGUCUGACCGAGCAACGCCGCGUGAGUGAAGAAGGUUUUCGGAUCGUAAAGCUCUGUUGUAAGAGAAGAACGAGUGUGAGAGUGGAAAGUUCACACUGUGACGGUAGCUUACCAGAAAGGGACGGCUAACUACGUG